RNAcentral lists this transfer RNA (57 nucleotides) under Schistocephalus solidus. It matches the Rfam family "tRNA", at positions 8 to 63 of the family's 71-position model. From Rfam's summary of the family: Transfer RNA (tRNA) molecules are approximately 80 nucleotides in length. Their secondary structure includes four short double-helical elements and three loops (D, anti-codon, and T loops). The record is from Rfam by way of RNAcentral. Lineage: Eukaryota; Metazoa; Platyhelminthes; Cestoda; Diphyllobothriidea; Diphyllobothriidae.
UGGCUCAAUGGUAGAGUGUUUGACUCAAUAACGAAAGGUCGUGGGUUUGAAUCCCAU